CUCUCCCCUCUUUCUCUUCUUCUAUAAAUUCCUUUCAUUUUUCUGUAAUGACCCCGGACAAUCCGCAACCCGCCGAUAAUGAUAACUCGCUGAGGCGUGGAUGGCGGAGAGGAUGAUGGUGGUUUCCGGCAGCGAAUCCGAUGUAACCGAGGAGGGCUUCCACAGCAAAUUGUAAAAAAGGGAACUGUGGGCCUUCUGGGUUGAAUUCAGAUGGUUUAUGGGCCUCAGAGCUUCACUGGUCCAUGAGCCUCUUGUAACCGGGGAAUGAAAACCGGGUCGUCCUCCCCGUCUGAUCCUCAGGUGAGCGGAUACUGGGUCCGCGUUUCAUGCCCGAUCCGAAAAUCCGACUGCCCGAUCCAUCAGUUGAGUGGUAACCGGGUAAGUGGGUUUCGGUCCUCUCUUCUUCGCACUAUCCACAGCCCGGCGGUUCUUGGCUCCGCGUUUUGCCUCCGCUCCGAGAUCCUGAAGCUUCGACCCGCAGGAGCUUGAGUACUUCCUUCUUCCCGGAAUACGUAGAUUCUGUCGGAGCCUUUCCUACCCCCUCGGUCCUUCCUCUGCUCUCUCUCUCCGCUCCGAAAAUGCCCUAGCUCCGUCGAUCCGCCGGAGUUCCAUCCGACAACCCUCGCCGAAUCGUUCCGCCAAGCUCGCCCUUCUUCAACUGCUGCAGCCGCUUAUCUCUGCUCUACUGUGUAAAGUUGACAUUUUUUUGCUAACUUCCCCUGUUAACUACUACUUCUAUCAUUUAUUCUUCAGGGUUGUUACACUUUCUCUCUUUUUCUAUAAAUUCUAGAAGAUUUUUCU
Ananas comosus (pineapple) is the source of this 801-nucleotide long non-coding RNA. RefSeq lists it as uncharacterized. NCBI's taxonomy places the organism in Eukaryota, Viridiplantae, Streptophyta, Magnoliopsida, Poales, Bromeliaceae. The transcript has 2 exons. The record is from RefSeq and is a predicted model, not a curated record.